Molecule: non-coding RNA, 79 nt
Organism: Schistosoma mattheei
Lineage: Eukaryota; Metazoa; Platyhelminthes; Trematoda; Strigeidida; Schistosomatidae
Source: Rfam
AGCCUUCUGUAUCCGUGCUGAGAUUUCGUCAUACACCAGACCACAAGGGCUGAUGAGACAUUAGGAGUUAUUAAAAUUU